RNAcentral lists this ribosomal RNA (240 nucleotides) under Klebsiella pneumoniae. RNAcentral describes it as "partial 23S ribosomal RNA". It matches the Rfam family "Bacterial large subunit ribosomal RNA", at positions 1 to 232 of the family's 2925-position model. The record is from RNAcentral. Lineage: Bacteria; Pseudomonadati; Pseudomonadota; Gammaproteobacteria; Enterobacterales; Enterobacteriaceae.
GGGUUGUGAGGUUAAGCGACUAAGCGUACACGGUGGAUGCCCUGGCAGUCAGAGGCGAUGAAGGACGUGCUAAUCUGCGAAAAGCGUCGGUAAGGUGAUAUGAACCGUUACAGCCGGCGAUGUCCGAAUGGGGAAACCCAGUGUGAUUCGUCACACUAUCGUUAACUGAAUACAUAGGUUAACGAGGCGAACCGGGGGAACUGAAACAUCUAAGUACCCCGAGGAAAAGAAAUCAACCGA